CCUCAGUAACGGCGAGUGAAGCGGCAACAGCUCAAAUUUGAAAUCUGGCCCCAGGCCCGAGUUGUAAUUUGCAGAGGAUGCUUUUGGUGCGGUGCCUUCCAAGUUCCCUAGAACGGGACGCCAGAGAGGGUGAGAGCCCCGUACAGUUGGACACCAAGCCUUUGUAAAGCUCCUUCGACGAGUCGAGUAGUUUGGGAAUGCUGCUCAAAAUGGGAGGUAUAUUUCUUCUAAAGCUAAAUACCGGCCAGAGACCGAUAGCGCACAAGUAGAGUGAUCGAAAGAUGAAAAGCACUUUGAAAAGAGGGUUAAACAGCACGUGAAAUUGUUAAAAGGGAAGCGCUUGUGACCAGACUUGCGUCCGGUGAAUCACCCAGCUCUCGCGGCUGGGGCACUUCGCCGGCUCAGGCCAGCAUCAGCUCGCUGUCGGGGACAAAAGCUUCAGGAACGUAGCUCUCUUCGGGGAGUGUUAUAGCCUGUUGCACAAUACCCUUCGGCGGGCUGAGGUACGCGCUCCGCAAGGAUGCUGGCAUAAUGGUCAUCAGCGACCCGUCUUGAAACACGGACCAAGGAGUCAACCUUAUGUGCGAGUGUUCGGGUGUCAAACCCCUACGCGUAAUGAAAGUGAACGCAGGUGAGAGCUUCGGCGCAUCAUCGACCGAUCCUGAUGUUCUCGGAUGGAUUUGAGUAAGAGCAUAUAGGGUUGGACCCGAAAGAAGGUGAACUAUGCGUGUAUAGGGUGAAGCCAGAGGAAACUCUGGUGGAGGCUCGCAGCGGUUCUGACGUGCAAAUCGAUCGUCAAAUAUGCGCAUGGGGGCGAAAGACUAAUCGAACCUUCUAGUA
This 840-nucleotide ribosomal RNA is filed under the name Colletotrichum gloeosporioides. RNAcentral describes it as "eukaryotic LSU rRNA". It matches the Rfam family "Eukaryotic large subunit ribosomal RNA", at positions 78 to 949 of the family's 3401-position model. Lineage: Eukaryota; Fungi; Ascomycota; Sordariomycetes; Glomerellales; Glomerellaceae. The record is from RNAcentral.